This 460-nucleotide ribosomal RNA is filed under the name uncultured bacterium. RNAcentral describes it as "partial 16S ribosomal RNA". It matches the Rfam family "Bacterial small subunit ribosomal RNA", at positions 338 to 795 of the family's 1533-position model. The record is from RNAcentral.
CCUACGGGAGGCAGCAGUGAGGAAUAUUGGUCAAUGAACGAGAGUCUGAACCAGCCAAGUAGCGUGAAUGAUGACUGCCCUAUGGGUUGUAAACUUCUUUUAUAUGGGAAUAAAAUGUUCCACGUGUGGGAUUUUGUAUGUACCAUAUGAAUAAGGAUCGGCUAACUCCGUGCCAGCAGCCGCGGUAAUACGGAGGAUCCGAGCGUUAUCCGGAUUUAUUGGGUUUAAAGGGAGCGUAGGUGGAUUGUUAAGUCAGUUGUGAAAGUUUGCGGCUCAACCGUAAAAUUGCAGUUGAAACUGGCAGUCUUGAGUACAGGAGAGGUGGGCGGAAUUCGUGGUGUAGCGGUGAAAUGCUUAGAUAUCACGAAGAACUCCGAUUGCGAAGGCAGUUCACUGGACUGCAACUGACACUGAGGCUCGAAAGUGUGGGUAUCAAACAGGAUUAGAUACCCGAGUAGUC